UACGGGGGGGGCAAGCGUUGUUCGGAAUUACUGGGCGUAAAGGGUUCGUAGGUGGCCUACUAAGUCAGACGUGAAAUCCCUCAGCUCAACUGGGGAACUGCGUCUGAGACUGGAAGGCUUGAGUGCAGGAGAGGAACGCGGAAUUCCAGGUGUAGCGGUGAAAUGCGUAGAUAUCGGGAGGAACACCAGUGGCGAAGGCGACUACCUGGCCUGUUCUUGACGCUGAGGCGCGAAAGCUAGGGGAGCAAACGGG
RNAcentral lists this ribosomal RNA (253 nucleotides) under uncultured bacterium. Its description in RNAcentral is "partial 16S ribosomal RNA". It matches the Rfam family "Bacterial small subunit ribosomal RNA", at positions 524 to 776 of the family's 1533-position model. The record is from RNAcentral.